Molecule: ribosomal RNA, 499 nt
Filed under: uncultured bacterium
Lineage: Bacteria
Description: partial 16S ribosomal RNA
Rfam family: Bacterial small subunit ribosomal RNA
Source: RNAcentral
GACGAACGCUGGCGGCGUGCUUAACACAUGCAAGUCGAACGGGCCCGCCCCUGUUUUUGGGGGUGGGUUGAGUGGCGAACGGGUGAGUAUCACGUGAGUAACCUGCCCCCUGCUCCUGGAUAACUGCUUGAAAGGGCGGCUAAUACGGGGUGUGCCGGCUGGUCCGCAUGGGCCUGGUCGGGAUAGUUUCAUCUUCGGGUGUUUCGGUGGGGGAUGGGCUCGCGGCCUAUCAGCUUGUUGGUGGGGUGAUGGCCCACCAAGGCGGUGACGGGUAGCCGGCCUGAGAGGGUGGGCGGCCACACGGGGACUGAGACACGGCCCAGACUGCUGCGGGAGGCAGCAGUGGGGGGUAUUGCACAAUGGGCGGAAGCCUGAUGCAGCGACGUCGCGUGAGGGAUGGAGGCCUUCGGGUUGUGAACCUCUUUCUCCGGUGGUGAAGGCCCUGUCCGUUGCGGCGGGGUUGACGGUAGCCGGGUAUGAAGCGCCGGCUAACUACGUG